Molecule: ribosomal RNA, 942 nt
Filed under: Triticum aestivum (bread wheat)
Lineage: Eukaryota; Viridiplantae; Streptophyta; Magnoliopsida; Poales; Poaceae
Description: partial small subunit ribosomal RNA
Source: RNAcentral
AUGCGGCUUCAUCUCUUCGUGGUGUGUGCUAGGGGUGGUGUUGCUGCGCUCAGCGCUUUUGUAUCCUGCCUUGGGUGUGUGUGGUGUUGGCGUGCGUUUGUAUUGGAUGAUGUGGAUCUUUGCUUUAUAUAUAAAGCGGGGCGAAAGCCUUUUUCGGCAAUGGUACAUCAAACCAGAAGUUGCUCUCCUCUUCUCCUCUCUUUCACAACAAUACAUACAAAAGCUUCCAGAUUAGAUAUGGCUUUCCACAUGAGAUCCAUAAGUUUGCCUUCUAGGCCUCAGGCCAAUGAGACCGAGGUUGAACAAGAACUGCUGAGCCUAGAGGCAAGUAUCUCUUCUUCCAUUACCAUCGGCACGAUGUGUGAUGGUCUGAGGAGGCUUGGAGACAUCUACAAUGGUGUUGAAGAGAUUAUUUGCCUACCAAGCAAUCAAGUUAGCUCCUCUCAGCGGAGGAAGAUGUUGGAUGGAGAGAUGGAAUGCUCUCUUGAGUGGUUGAACCUCUACAGUAACAUGCAAGAGAUCUUCAUCGAAAUGAAGGUCAUCAUCCAAGAGCUGCACAUGGCUCUGAGAAAAGGGGAUGAUGCAGCUGCUCAAGCCAAGAUCCAGUCUUACACCCGCUUGGCGAAGAAGGCCAAGAAUCAAUUCAAGAAGACCACGAAAAAGACUCCUGCAGAUUGCAAGAUGGUCAUGCUAUUGACCAAGGCCAGAGAGAUAUCUGUCUCUCUGCUGGAGUCCACACUACAUUUCUUGUCGAAGCAAAUUGAAAUGCCUAAACAAUCUCUUGUUUCCAAGGCAUUUCACAAAAAGAAGGCAGUUGUCUGCAAGGACGAGCAAUUGCAGGAGCUAGAGUGCAGUAUCGGAGAUCUUGAGAGUGGAGCAGGACAUCUGUUCAGGAAAUUACUCCAGAGCAGAGUUUCUCUACUCAACAUUCUUAGCUCAUAG